AGAGUUUGAUCCUGGCUCAGGACGAACGCUGGCGGCGUGCCUAAUACAUGCAAGUCGAGCGAGCUUGCCUAGAUGAUUUUAGUGCUUGCACUAAAUGAAACUAGAUACAAGCGAGCGGCGGACGGGUGAGUAACACGUGGGUAACCUGCCCAAGAGACUGGGAUAACACCUGGAAACAGAUGCUAAUACCGGAUAACAACACUAGACGCAUGUCUAGAGUUUGAAAGAUGGUUCUGCUAUCACUCUUGGAUGGACCUGCGGUGCAUUAGCUAGUUGGUAAGGUAACGGCUUACCAAGGCAAUGAUGCAUAGCCGAGUUGAGAGACUGAUCGGCCACAUUGGGACUGAGACACGGCCCAAACUCCUACGGGAGGCAGCAGUAGGGAAUCUUCCACAAUGGACGAAAGUCUGAUGGAGCAACGCCGCGUGAGUGAAGAAGGGUUUCGGCUCGUAAAAGCUCUGUUGGUAGUGAAGAAAGAUAGAGGUAGUAACUGGCCUUUAUUUGACGGUAAUUACUUAGAAAGUCACGGCUAACUACGUGCCCAGCAGCCCGCGGUAAUACGUAGGUGGCAAGCGUUGUCCGGAUUUAUUGGGCGUAAAGCGAGUGCAGGCGGUUCAAUAAGUCUGAUGUGAAAGCCUUCGGCUCAACCGGAGAAUUGCAUCAGAAACUGUUGAACUUGAGUGCAGAAGAGGAGAGUGGAACUCCAUGUGUAGCGGUGGAAUGCGUAGAUAUAUGGAAGAACACCAGUGGCGAAGGCGGCUCUCUGGUCUGCAACUGACGCUGAGGCUCGAAAGCAUGGGUAGCGAACAGGAUUAGAUACCCUGGUAGUCCAUGCCGUAAACGAUG
This 846-nucleotide ribosomal RNA is filed under the name uncultured bacterium. RNAcentral describes it as "bacterial SSU rRNA". It matches the Rfam family "Bacterial small subunit ribosomal RNA", at positions 8 to 811 of the family's 1533-position model. The record is from RNAcentral.